Molecule: ribosomal RNA, 460 nt
Filed under: uncultured bacterium
Lineage: Bacteria
Description: partial 16S ribosomal RNA
Rfam family: Bacterial small subunit ribosomal RNA
Source: RNAcentral
CCUACGUGAGGCAGCAGUGAGGAAUAUUGGUCAAUGGACGAGAGUCUGAACCAGCCAAGCAGCGUGAAGGAUGAAUGCCCUGUGGAUUGUAAACUUCUUUUAUAAAGGAAUAAAACGAGGCACGUGUGCCUUUUUGCAGGUACUUUAUGAAUAAGGAUCGGCUAACUCCGUGCCAGCAGCCGCGGUAAUACGGAGGAUCCGAGCGUUAUCCGGAUUUAUUUGGUUUAAAGGGAGCGUAGAUGGGUUGUUAAGUCAGUUGUGAAAGUUUGCGGCUCAAACGUAAAAUUGCAAUUGAUACUGGCGGUCUUGAGUACAGUAGAGGUAGGCGGAAUUCGUGGUGUAGCGGUGAAAUGCUUAGAUAUCACGAAGAACCCCGAUUGCGAAGGCAGCGUACCAACCUGUGACUGACAUUGAUGCUCGAAAGUGUGGGUAUCGAACAGGAUUAGAUACCCUUGUAGUC